Molecule: ribosomal RNA, 462 nt
Filed under: uncultured bacterium
Lineage: Bacteria
Description: partial 16S ribosomal RNA
Rfam family: Bacterial small subunit ribosomal RNA
Source: RNAcentral
GACGAACGCUGGCGGCGUGCUUAACACAUGCAAGUCGAGCGGAAAGGCCCUUCGGGGUACUCGAGCGGCGAACGGGUGAGUAACACGUGAGUAACCUGCCCCAGACUUUGGGAUAACCCUCGGAAACGGGGGCUAAUACCGGAUACGACACAGCUUCGCAUGGGGUCUGUGUGGAAAGUUUUUCGGUUUGGGAUGGGCUCGCGGCCUAUCAGCUUGUUGGUGGGGUGAUGGCCUACCAAGGCGACGACGGGUAGCCGGCCUGAGAGGGCGACCGGCCACACUGGGACUGAGACACGGCCCAGACUCCUACGGGAGGCAGCAGUGGGGAAUAUUGCACAAUGGGCGGAAGCCUGAUGCAGCGACGCCGCGUGAGGGAUGACGGCCUUCGGGUUGUAAACCUCUUUCAGCAGGGGCGAAGCGUAAGUGACGGUACCUGCAGAAGAAGCGCCGGCCAACUACGUG